RNAcentral lists this ribosomal RNA (441 nucleotides) under uncultured bacterium. RNAcentral describes it as "partial 16S ribosomal RNA". It matches the Rfam family "Bacterial small subunit ribosomal RNA", at positions 339 to 795 of the family's 1533-position model. The record is from RNAcentral.
CUACGGGGCGCAGCAGUGGGGGAUAUUGCACAAUGGGCGAAAGCCUGAUGCAGCAACGCCGCGUGAAGGAUGACGGAUUUCGGUCUGUAAACUUCUAUCAGCAGGGAAGAAAAUGACGGUACCUGACUAAGAAGCCCCGGCUAACUAUGCGUGCCAGCAGCCGCGGUAAUACGUAGGGGGCAAGCGUUAUCCGGAAUUACUGGGUGUAAAGGGUACGUAGGCGGCUGAUCAAGUCAGAUGUGAAAGCCCGGAGCUCAACUCCGGGAUUGCAUUUGAAACUGGUCGGCUAGAGUGCAGGAGAGGAAAGUGGAAUUCCUAGUGUAGCGGUGAAAUGCGUAGAUAUUAGGAAGAACACCAGUGGCGAAGGCGGCUUUCUGGACUGUAACUGACGCUGAGGUACGAAAGCGUGGGGAGCGAACAGGAUUAGAUACCCGCGUAGUC